GACGAACCGUCCAAACGUUACUCGGAAUUACUGGGCUUAAAGGGUGCGUAGGCGGCGCGGAAAGUUGGGUGUGAAAUCCCUCGGCUCAACCGAGGAACUGCGCCCAAUACUACCGUGCUUGAGGGAGAUAGAGGUGAGCGGAACUUAGGGUGGAGCGGUGAAAUGCGUUGAUAUCCUAAGGAACACCGGUGGCGAAAGCGGCUCACUGGAUCUCUUCUGACGCUGAGGCACGAAAGCUAGGGUAGCGAACGGG
This 253-nucleotide ribosomal RNA is filed under the name uncultured bacterium. RNAcentral's name for it is "partial 16S ribosomal RNA". It matches the Rfam family "Bacterial small subunit ribosomal RNA", at positions 524 to 776 of the family's 1533-position model. The record is from RNAcentral.